RNAcentral lists this ribosomal RNA (253 nucleotides) under uncultured bacterium. RNAcentral's name for it is "partial 16S ribosomal RNA". It matches the Rfam family "Bacterial small subunit ribosomal RNA", at positions 524 to 776 of the family's 1533-position model. The record is from RNAcentral.
UACGUAGGGGGCUAGCGUUGUCCGGAAUCAUUGGGCGUAAAGCGCGUGUAGGCGGCCCGGUAAGUCCGCUGUGAAAGUCGGGGGCUCAACCCUCGGAAGCCGGUGGAUACUGUCGGGCUGGAGUACGGAAGAGGCGAGUGGAAUUCCUGGUGUAGCGGUGAAAUGCGCAGAUAUCAGGAGGAACACCUAUUGCGAAGGCAGCUCGCUGGGACAUUACUGACGCUGAGACGCGAAAGCGUGGGGAGCAAACAGG